RNAcentral lists this transfer RNA (85 nucleotides) under Betaproteobacteria bacterium. RNAcentral's name for it is "tRNA-Leu". It matches the Rfam family "tRNA". From Rfam's summary of the family: Transfer RNA (tRNA) molecules are approximately 80 nucleotides in length. The record is from RNAcentral. Lineage: Bacteria; Pseudomonadati; Pseudomonadota; Betaproteobacteria.
GGGACUGUGGCGUAACAGGUAGCCGCAAGAGACUUAAAAUCUCUCGCUUUCGAGCGUGCCGGUUCGAGUCCGGCCAGUCCUACCA